RNAcentral lists this ribosomal RNA (468 nucleotides) under uncultured bacterium. Its description in RNAcentral is "partial 16S ribosomal RNA". It matches the Rfam family "Bacterial small subunit ribosomal RNA", at positions 28 to 507 of the family's 1533-position model. The record is from RNAcentral.
GACGAACGCUGGCGGCGUGCUUAACACAUGCAAGUCGAACGGAAAGGCCCUGCUUUUGUGGGGUGCUCGAGUGGCGAACGGGUGAGUAACACGUGAGUAACCUGCCCUUGACUUUGGGAUAACUUCAGGAAACUGGGGCUAAUACCGGAUAGGAGCUCCUGCUGCAUGGUGGGGGUUGGAAAGUUUCGGCGGUUGGGGAUGGACUCGCGGCUUAUCAGCUUGUUGGUGGGGUAGUGGCUUACCAAGGCUUUGACGGGUAGCCGGCCUGAGAGGGUGACCGGCCACAUUGGGACUGAGAUACGGCCCAGACUCCUACGGGCGGCAGCAGUGGGGAAUAUUGCACAAUGGGCGGAAGCCUGAUGCAGCAACGCCGCGUGCGGGAUGACGGCCUUCGGGUUGUAAACCGCUUUCGCCUGUGACGAAGCGUGAGUAACGGUAAUGGGUAAAGAAGCACCGGCUAACUACGUG